Molecule: ribosomal RNA, 276 nt
Filed under: uncultured SAR86 cluster bacterium
Lineage: Bacteria; Pseudomonadati; Pseudomonadota; Gammaproteobacteria
Description: partial 16S ribosomal RNA
Rfam family: Bacterial small subunit ribosomal RNA
Source: RNAcentral
GCGAGGUGGUGCCAAUCCUAGAAAGUUCUUCGUAGACCGGAUUGGAGUCUGCAACUCGACUCCAUGAAGUCGGAAUCGCCAGUAAUCGCGAAUCAGCAUGUCGCGGUGAAUACGUUCUCGGGUCUUGUACACACCGCCCGUCAUACCAUGGAAGUGGAUUGCACCAGAAGUAGAUAGUCUAACCUUAGGGAGGGCGUUUACCACGGUGUGCUUCAUGACUGGGGUAAAGUCGUAACAAGGUAGCCGUAGGGGAACCUGUGGCUGGAUCACCUCCUU